Anthonomus grandis grandis is the source of this 1421-nucleotide RNA transcript. It is a transcript of the gene named lipase member H-A-like, with no coding region annotated. The record is from RefSeq and is a predicted model, not a curated record. The transcript has 8 exons. NCBI's taxonomy places the organism in Eukaryota, Metazoa, Arthropoda, Insecta, Coleoptera, Curculionidae.
ACUUGUGUAAGUUUGGGGUCUAAUCAGUCACUUUAGUGUAUAUUGAAUUGGUUCCGCUUUUAGUAAUAUAUCUGAAUAAUGUCGCUCGGGUUUUCUCUGUUUUGUGUUUUAGCAAGCUUACCAGGACCCCCUCAAAAGCGAAUAUCCAAUCUCACGCUUCAAGCAUAUACAAUAAAUAAAAGGCAUUGUCCAGAGUUUGAUCCUUAUAGAGAUUCAAUAUUUCACUUGUAUACAAGAAAAAAUGUAGCAAUUUCCAGUAUAAUGAUCCCAUUUCAUGAUCAGUCCUUAGCCAAUUCAGGGAUGGACUUUUCUCGUAAGACAAUUAUAUUUUUUCACGGAUUUACUGAGUCAUUUGAAAAUGAUGAUGCUCAAUCAAUAAAAAAUGCUUAUUUGACUCGAGGUGACUACAAUGUAAUUUUGGUCCAAAAUGAACGAAUUUUGGCUGGUCUCGACUAUAUAACUGCCGCUAGUAACUGUAAACCUAUUGCCAGAUAUUCCGCAUAUUUUAUCGAUUACUUGGUGAGCAAAGGAUUGCACCUUAAUACACUUCACGUAAUUGGCCUUAGUUUGGGUGGACAAAUUGCUGGAAUGACCGGCCAAUUUGUUAGGAGCGGAAGAUUACCUAGAAUAACCGCAUUAGACCCUGCUGGCCCUCUUUUUAACAAUAACCCAAUAGAGGAGCGCCUUGAUUCAAGUGAUGCCGACUUUGUUGAUGUAAUUUACACGAACUCCGGAGUAUUUGGGAUGAAAUAUUCUGUAGGCCAUUUAAAUUUUUGGCCCAAUGGUGGAACUAAACAGCCCGGAUGUAAACUUUAUGAAAUAUUACAACGAUAUGGAGUUGCUAUAAAUUGGCUAGUAUUUUGUCACCACUACAGAUCUUACCAGUUGUAUGUUGAAUCAAUAAGGAAUCCCCACAAAUUUCCAAGCAGGAAAUGUAAAAGUUACGUGUUAUAUACUCUAGGAUUUUGUAACACUGAAGAUGUCGCAUAUAUGGGAAUUAACGCUAAUUCAAGCAAAAAAGGCGACUACUUUAUUAAUACUGGAUUAAUUGGGAUACACAAUUAAUAACUCAAUUUAUUUUCUACAAACUGGUAUGGCUGACUGGACAAAGAAAUUAUCAUUAUAAUGACUAUUAUUUGUAUUCAUAGAUCCUGAGCUGAAAUGUGCAUCGUAGAGGUGUUUUGGAAUUCCCAUCGUUGAGAAAUUUGAAUCCAAGCUUUUUGCAAAGUUAAGCCUAUAGGGGUUUGUAAGAGAUAUUGCCAGUCCGGAUUUAAGCUUUUGGUUAGAACCUAAAAAGUAAAUUAUUAAUGAUUAAAAUAAAACCGUAAUAAUAAUGUUACAAUCUAAAUCUUUUAACCUGUUUAAUAACAUCAUGCGGAUUUCGCUGUUUUUUACCAUUUGAAUAAAGCAAAUAUUAUUGA